UUUAGUUUUACUUCUGUGUAUAUUUGUGUGCCUAUGUAUGUGUUUGUGCAGAUCAGUGCAGUGACCACAGAGGCCAGAAGAGACUGUCAGAGCUUCAGUUGCAAGUUGAUGGGAGCCUCCUGACAUGGUGCUGAGAAACAAAUGUGGGUUUGCAACUACUCAUCAACCUCUCAGGCCCAAGAAUCAGGAUCUACUCUCUGUGGCCUCUUUGUGGAAAGCUUCCUCUUCGGAGGGGCAUGAAUGAGAGAGGAGACCGGGGCCCUCAACUCCCACAGACAGAACAUUACUGGAAUUUUAUUCUAGGAGGAGCAAUUUCGCUAUUGGAGUCAAUUAACCCAAUGAAGCUAUUACACCAAAGAAUCUGUGAUGUUAUUCAGACUUCC
This 383-nucleotide long non-coding RNA is filed under the name Cricetulus griseus (Chinese hamster). Its description in RNAcentral is "lncRNA (ENSCGRG00000025767.1)". The record is from RNAcentral. Lineage: Eukaryota; Metazoa; Chordata; Mammalia; Rodentia; Cricetidae.